Psammomys obesus (fat sand rat) is the source of this 93-nucleotide small nucleolar RNA. The record is from RefSeq and is a predicted model, not a curated record. NCBI's taxonomy places the organism in Eukaryota, Metazoa, Chordata, Mammalia, Rodentia, Muridae.
AGUUGGCUUUAUCGAAGACAUGGAUUAAAUCAUUUCCUUGACAGUCAUGGUUCUCUUUGCUGUGACUGAUGUACAUUUUGGGAAAAGACAGUU